RNAcentral lists this ribosomal RNA (355 nucleotides) under uncultured bacterium. Its description in RNAcentral is "bacterial SSU rRNA". It matches the Rfam family "Bacterial small subunit ribosomal RNA", at positions 8 to 350 of the family's 1533-position model. The record is from RNAcentral.
AGAGUUUGAUCAUGGCUCAGGAUGAACGCUAGCUACAGGCUUAACACAUGCAAGUCGAGGGGAAACGACAUCGAAAGCUUGCUUUUGAUGGGCGUCGACCGGCGCACGGGUGAGUAACGCGUAUCCAACCUGCCCACCACUUGGGGAUAACCUUGCGAAAGUAAGACUAAUACCCAAUGACGUCUCUAGAAGACAUCUGAAGGAGAUUAAAGAUCUAUCGGUGAUGGAUGGGGAUGCGUCUGAUUAGCUUGUUGGCGGGGUAACGGCCCACCAAGGCGACGAUCAGUAGGGGUUCGUGAGAGGAAGGUCCCCCACAUUGGAACUGAGACACGGUCCAAACUCCGUACGGGAGGCA